UCCUUCUUAGCUCAGUUGGUAGAGCGCGUCACUAGUAUGUGUAUGGAUGUUACGCACAUAUUUCUUAUGACGAGGUCAGUCGUUCAAGUCGGCUAGAAGGAA
This is a non-coding RNA of Rhodocollybia butyracea, 102 nucleotides long. The record is from the annotation of a GenBank genome assembly. NCBI's taxonomy places the organism in Eukaryota, Fungi, Basidiomycota, Agaricomycetes, Agaricales, Omphalotaceae.